RNAcentral lists this ribosomal RNA (171 nucleotides) under uncultured bacterium. RNAcentral describes it as "partial 16S ribosomal RNA". The record is from RNAcentral.
CUGGCCGUAAACUAUGAGCACUAGAUAGGAGGAACCCCCAUAUUCUUCCUGUCGUAGCGAAAGUGUUAAGUGCUCCGCCUGGGGANCGAAGAACCUUAUCCUAGUCUUGACAUGCACGGAUUAACCCCAGGAAACUGGGGCCACGCCUUCGGGUGGAACGUGCACAGGUGC